CGCACCGCUACGGGAUGCGCCAUUGCUCCUCCCACUAAAAUCCCCAAUCCCCUUUCUUCCCCAAUCGAUCACAUCUCACUGCGCCGCCGCCGCCCCCGCCGCCUCCCCCGCACCUGACGACCCCCGCGCCCGCUCCGUCGCUGGAGUCGCCGCCGGAGCACUAGGAGGAGGAGGCCCGCGUCCACCAGGAGGAGGAGGCCCGCCGGAGCAUGUCUUCUUCCUCCGACCGACCCCAUCUCGCCGUUGCCACCGCUGCUCCGGUCCAUCCCCGCGGCAACCGAGGUGUCCACAAGCCCCGUGGCCUGCUGCGGUGCGGCAAGAGCUGUCGGCUCCGGUGGAUCAACUACCUACGACCGGACAUCAAGCGCGGCAACUUCACCGACAAGGAGGAGCAGUCAAUCAUCUAGCUGCACCAGCUGCUCGGCAACAGGUGCCCCCUUUACCCCUUGUCGCCUUCCUCCUCCUUCUGCUGCCAUGUACGGGCACCGCGGGCUUCCUUCAGUUGCCUGCUCAUGUUUGCUCUUGUAGUUCCUGAAUCCCUCUUAUAUUGUUGUAGGUGUUUAGUUCCCCUGCUCUUAUCAGUGUUAUAUCAUCUCUCUGAAUUUGUAUGUACUAGCCCUAUAGUGCUGAUGUAGUUUAGUGUUAGUCCGGGUUGUAAUCCCCAUGCUUUUUUUAUUUGUAAUUGCGGUGUAAUAUACUCUAGAAUUAUAGUGCCUGAUGGGGUCAUGGCGAUGCUCUUGCCGACUGAUGACUGGUUGGUCGUCACCACUGUCAGCCUGGUGUUCUAGUUAUGCCUGCAUUUGUUUGACUAUAUGUAAGAGGCGUCCGCGUCGACGGCUUGUGUUGAAUAAUUGGAACAGAGAUCUAGUAUGUGCUUAGGUUCAUGUGUCUUUGAACUUGGAGAUUGAUAUGCUGAAAGUAGUCCUGCAAGUGAGGCUUCCUUUGAA
Triticum aestivum (bread wheat) is the source of this 947-nucleotide long non-coding RNA. RefSeq lists it as uncharacterized. Lineage: Eukaryota; Viridiplantae; Streptophyta; Magnoliopsida; Poales; Poaceae. The record is from RefSeq and is a predicted model, not a curated record. The transcript is spliced from 2 exons.